AACAGCUAUGUUUCUCCUCCAGUUUGAAGGUUAAUUUAUUGUCCGAUUUGAAGCUAUAAACUUGAAGGUUCACACUAAUCAAGCUUCAAGUUUAAGAUAUGCCUUUAUGAUUCCCAUCAUCUCACUUCCGGGAAACCUACCAAGACAACCUCUAGCAGCUGCUAUUUCACUAAACUUGUCAACCAAAUCACCAGAAAAAAACUGAAGCUUGUUAUUUUUGUCUUCUUCAAUCCUUGUACCAGUAUCUACGUCUUCACCAGCUUGGAUGGAUGGAAGGGGAAAUGGAUCAAGAGAAAUACCUGAGAGGACAGAUUCGCCACCCAAAGCACUCACAAAGUCUUUUAAACUACAUAAUGCAAAUGGCACUGGUUCAAAGCUGUGAUCUCCAUAUUCUACCGGUGUGGAGUGGUCUCCAGUGACACAAAGGUAAUAGCUGAAUUUCCCAGUUGAUUCCGCCUCCCAAAGAAGCCUAGCUAAUUGACCUAUAGCACAGUCGACAGCUUCCAGUCCCUUCACUUUGAACACACUUGCUUUAUCAUGACCUGCAUCAUCAAUUGCCUUAAUGUGGAGGAAUCCAAAAUCAUAGCCAUCAAGUCGACCGGGCUUGUGCUCAUCUUCCCCAGGCACAAAAACAUUGGGACAAGAUUGCAGAGGUGCUGAGAGUGCCCUGGCUAUGGCAGUUGCUUUUGAUGUUAAUAAUGUCCUAUAGUCUCCUGUCGCUCCAGGAGCUUCCAGAAUAUCAAUCCCGAGCGACAAACCCAAGCCAGCAAUAAUCUUGGUAGGAGCUACCAUGCACGGCCAGAGACCAUGUAUCUUUUCAAAUGGAGCAACCUCAAUUCUAAUGCCGCAUCCUCGUAAAAGAACCAGAUUUGCUACAUUCUUUCCUUCUGCUGCCCGUUUUGCAUUCAAUGGAUGGGCAAGCAAAAUACGUGAAAUUUCUUUAGACAGUUCAUUGACAACUGCAGCUGUGUGCUUUGCUUCAUCUGUAUCAUCAAGAGGGUUCGCUUGUAAAAGUAAGCGGUUGUCUUUCAAUGGAUCAGUUCCCGAUAUAUUUCCACUUAACUUUGGUCCCUUGAUGACAACUCCACAUCUAUGCUCCGUAGCAUACCUGACUCUAACUUCAUAUUCAGGAAAAGAAGGCAACUUCAUUCCAUCCAAUGCUGCACAAAGAAUCGGCCCUUCUUCUUCAAAAUGCCUAUCAGCCCUCCGGCUAACAACUAUCCCGGUUGCCUCAUCCAGCGUAGCAAAGUUUGAAAUCUCGAUGAUCAAUCGGGCGCAGAGCAAUUCACAGCACAAAAGAUUGGGCUG
This 1308-nucleotide unclassified non-coding RNA is filed under the name Hevea brasiliensis (rubber tree). The record is from RNAcentral. Lineage: Eukaryota; Viridiplantae; Streptophyta; Magnoliopsida; Malpighiales; Euphorbiaceae.